Molecule: non-coding RNA, 109 nt
Organism: Acanthosepion pharaonis
Lineage: Eukaryota; Metazoa; Mollusca; Cephalopoda; Sepiida; Sepiidae
Source: the annotation of a GenBank genome assembly
GCCAUAUCACAUUGAAACACCAGUUUUUGUAUGAUCACCAAAGUUAAGCACUGUCAAGCCUGGUUAGUACCUAGAUGGGUGACCCAUUGGGAAUACCAGGUGCGGUAAG